AUUAUGGCUCAUGUCUUCUCGCUUCAAAUCUGAUCAGAAUAGAUAACUGUUUGAAUGACAUCUGUCAGGAGGAGAGGUUGAAACUUUCUUGUUGAAAAGAUAAAGCCUCUAUAUUCUCUCAGUGUUUUUCCAUCUAGUCUUUUUCCCUGUAAUUAUUAAGUAGAAUCUUUCCAGUUGUUUAUGGUGGCUAUUCAACCAAGAGCCUGGAAGACUUUAUGUUGAGUUACAGUUUUUUUGUGCUGUGUUUAACUUUGGUCAGGGAUUUAUUUCCUUUGGAAUCUUUGGAUUAGAUAAACAUUUAAUCAUCCUACCUUUCAAAAGAAGACUUGAAUUCCUAUGGAACAAUAAAGAAACAGCAGAAAACAGAGAUUCUCCUGUUUCAGAGGAAAUAAAAAUGACCUGUCAACAAUUUAUCCAUUAUCACCGUGACCUCUGUAUCCGAAACAUUGUCAAAGAAAGAAGGUGUGGUGCAAAGACUUCUGCUGGAACUUUCUGUGGCUGUGACCUGGUGAACUGGCUAAUUGAAGUCGGCCUUGCCUCUGACCGUGGUGAAGCUGUGAUAUACGGAGACAG
This 573-nucleotide small RNA is filed under the name Pongo abelii (Sumatran orangutan). RNAcentral describes it as "processed transcript". Lineage: Eukaryota; Metazoa; Chordata; Mammalia; Primates; Hominidae. The record is from RNAcentral.